This 166-nucleotide ribosomal RNA is filed under the name uncultured Paenibacillus sp. RNAcentral's name for it is "partial 16S ribosomal RNA". It matches the Rfam family "Bacterial small subunit ribosomal RNA", at positions 370 to 529 of the family's 1533-position model. Lineage: Bacteria; Bacillati; Bacillota; Bacilli; Caryophanales; Paenibacillaceae. The record is from RNAcentral.
AUCGAGGAGAAGUCUGACGGAGCACGCCGCGUGAGUGAUGAAGGUUUUCGGAUCGUAAAGCUCUGUUGCCAGGGAAGAACGUCCUCUAGAGUAACUGCUAGGGGAGUGACGGUACCUGAGAAGAAAGCCCCGGCUAACUACGUGCCAGCAGCCGCGGUAAUACGAA